UACGAAGGGGACUAGCGUUGUUCGGAAUUACUGGGCGUAAAGCGCGCGUAGGCGGAUCGCUAAGUCAGGGGUGAAAUCCCAGGGCUCAACCCUGGAACUGCCUUUGAUACUGACGAUCUGGAGAUCGGGAGAGGUUGGUGGAAUUCCGAGUGUAGAGGUGAAAUUCGUAGAUAUUCGGAGGAACACCAGAAGCGAAGGCGGCCAACUGGCCCGAUACUGACGCUGAGGCGCGAAAGCUAGGGGAGCAAACGGG
RNAcentral lists this ribosomal RNA (253 nucleotides) under uncultured bacterium. Its description in RNAcentral is "partial 16S ribosomal RNA". It matches the Rfam family "Bacterial small subunit ribosomal RNA", at positions 524 to 776 of the family's 1533-position model. The record is from RNAcentral.